This 1415-nucleotide ribosomal RNA is filed under the name Triticum aestivum (bread wheat). Its description in RNAcentral is "partial small subunit ribosomal RNA". The record is from RNAcentral. Lineage: Eukaryota; Viridiplantae; Streptophyta; Magnoliopsida; Poales; Poaceae.
AUUCCGGGGCGAACCUACCGGCAAAAACUCGGGGUUUGGUCGCAUUUUAUGCCUAGGCUUAACAAAAGGGGAGGUCGACCCUUUUGCGCGAACCAACCAGCAAAUCCGCGUUGGGUUUUGCUAGCAAAAAAGUAAAUGUGGGCAUUAUGUGAACAUUCAUUAAUCACAGAGGCCCCGAGACAUAAAAAAGGCCGGCCUAAAGAAACCACCGGCCAUUCUAUGUUGACAUAGAAAUUAUGUGCGCCUUUCGAUUUUGCCGGUAGGUUCGCCCUGGAUUUUGCUGAGACGACCGGGGGCUUAGGAGGUUGGUGGGGGAACGUACUGCGGCGGGACGAGGGUUAGGGGAUACCGGCGGCGGAGGGUAGGCCGCUGCGGCGUGAGGUGGCGGCCGCCUACUGGGGUGUGGCGACGAGGGGGUGAGGAGGUCGCGGCAGAUGGACGGGCAGGUGCCGGCGGAGCAGCGGCAGGCUGGUGAGCGGAGGGAGUGGCCGGUUGCGACGGGGCAGUUGCAGGUCGGUGAGCGGAGGGAACGGCCGGUCGGAGGGGAACGCGCGGGAGGUUGGUAAGGUCGCCGCGGAAGUAGGGGCUGCUGGCCGAGGGGAGCAUCUAAGCGUCAUGUCGCGGCGAAGCUAGGGGUAGCUGGCCGCGAAGGUCGCGGCGGGGAAGCUGCAGGUUGUCAGAGGGAGCACCAGCUCGGAGAGGUCGCGGAGGCGUAGCUGGCCGCGAAGGUCGCGGCGGGGAAGCUGCAGGUUGUUGGGGGGAGCAGCAGCUCGGAGAGGUCGCGGAGGCGUAGCUGGCCGCGGAGGAGCAGGAGGUCUAGACUGAGUGAAGGAGCGGGAAACAAAGGAAAGGUCGGGUCGCGGAGGUUUAGCUGGUUUUUUCUUCCGGUUUAGUCCUGUCGCAUCAAGAUGCUUCUGGUUCAAGAUCCUCACUAUCACAACGUGUAGUCGGGAGAGGUAACUGUCUACUUACUUUGUGGGGUCCGGGUUCUCCUACCACCAUGAGGUUACUGUCUAAGAAGUGUACUACUUUCCGUACAACUACGACGAUGAGUUUACCUACUAGUACCAAGACCAGGUUGUGGACUUUUAGUAAAUCCUUACGGUAUCAAUAUUAAUCACGAACAUAACCAUUGAUAUACGUGCCUGGGAAAAUAAACAGUUAGCGAUGAUGACUACUUUUAAACCCUGAGAUCAUACAGAAAACCAGACCGAUUAUUGAUCACAAUUCAACUCGAAAACCAUUAAUGCGCUUAGACCACUUGUACCUCCAAACACAUUACCCAUAUAUAACACUCGAUACUUACCCUACGGUAGAAUUUGACCCGAUACACUGGAAACAAACACGGUCUUAUAAUUAACAACAUGGUAUUAACCAACACUUAAAGUCAUUAAGUUAUAAUAAAACUAAGAAAC